RNAcentral lists this ribosomal RNA (497 nucleotides) under uncultured bacterium. RNAcentral's name for it is "partial 16S ribosomal RNA". It matches the Rfam family "Bacterial small subunit ribosomal RNA", at positions 28 to 507 of the family's 1533-position model. The record is from RNAcentral.
GACGAACGCUGGCGGCGUGCCUAAUACAUGCGAGUAGAACGCUGAAGAGAGGAGCUUGCUCUUCUUGGAUGAGUUGCGCACGGGUGAGUAACGCGUAGGUAACCUGCCUUGUAGCGGGGGAUAACUAUUGGAAACGAUAGCUAAUACCGCAUAACAAUGGAUGACACAUGUCAUUUAUUUGAAAGGGGCAAUUGCUCCACUACAAGAUGGACCUGCGUUGUAUUAGCUAGUAGGUGAGGUAAUGGCUCACCUAGGCGACGAUACAUAGCCGACCUGAGAGGGUGAUCGGCCACACUGGGACUGAGACACGGCCCAGACUCCUACGGGAGGCAGCAGUAGGGAAUCUUCGGCAAUGGGGGCAACCCUGACCGAGCAACGCCGCGUGAGUGAAGAAGGUUUUCGGAUCGUAAAGCUCUGUUGUAAGUCAAGAACGGGUGUGAGAGUGGAAAGUUCACACUGUGACGGUAGCUUACCAGAAAGGGACGGCUAACUACGUG